CCACCUGGCUCAGGUGAGGUGUCUCAGCUCGUAUCUGAUGUGCAGUUGUCACAUACACUACUGACUCUUCUGUUUUUCAAAUCUGAAGCACCUGCAAGUCUGUAAUUGUGUAAGUUAUGUUAACAGCAGUCACUAGAAUAAUAAGUGCAUGUUUCCUUUUUUCUUAUUUGCUAAGGAAUGAAUGAAACAGAACACUUCUGCAGUGGGAUGUGAAGUCACGUAUUUCUGUGUUUACAGGCAGGAUUAGUUUCCUGAGGCUGCUGUGACAAAUUACCACAGUUACUUCCCCUGGGCAGUAGAGGUUCCUAGAUAUGGGGAAGCAGCUCUCCUGAACAGGUCCAAGUGUCUAUGCAGGUGAGAGGAGUCCAGCCAGGUCUGAGCCUGGGCCCACAGCCCCUUUGGGGUCUGCUAUAAACUUUUGUGGUAAGCACGUAGAUUUCUUCCCUCUCCAGUAGCGCAGCACUUUCUAUUUUCAGGGGCUAGAUAUAUAUAUAUAUUUGAUGCAGGACAAGUUCCCAGCCUGAAACACGUGUGCGCACGGGUUCAGGGCCCUUGACCCGCAGUCACAGCCCCCUCAUUGGGCAAAGGCAGAUGCUCAUGAGGCUGUAUGGCAGGGUGAGAAGAGGUGAAUGAGGUGUGGACAGAGAGGUCAUCUUCAAGCCAGGAGAGAGCCUUCACAAGGGACCAAAUCAACCAGCACCUUGAUCUGGAUUUCCAGCCUCCAGAGCUGUGAGAAAAUAAAUUUCUGUUGUUUAAGGA
Long non-coding RNA from Galeopterus variegatus (Sunda flying lemur), 759 nucleotides. RefSeq lists it as uncharacterized. The transcript has 2 exons. The record is from RefSeq and is a predicted model, not a curated record. Lineage: Eukaryota; Metazoa; Chordata; Mammalia; Dermoptera; Cynocephalidae.